GGGAAAUUUUCCGCAAUGGGCGAAAGCCUGACGGAGCAAUACCGCGUGAGGGAGGAAGGCUCUUGGGUUGUAAACCUCUUUUCUCAGGGAAGAAAAAAAUGACGGUACCUGAGGAAUAAGCAUCGGCUAACUCCGUGCCAGCAGCCGCGGUAAUACGGAGGAUGCAAGCGUUAUCCGGAAUGAUUGGGCGUAAAGGGUCCGCAGGUGGCAUUGUAUGUCUGCUGUUAAAGAGUUUGGCUCMACCMVAUYAAAGCAGUGGAAACUACAAAGCUAGAGUAUGGUCGGGGCAGAGGGAAUUCCUGGUGUAGCGGUGAAAUGCGUAGAUAUCAGGAAGAAC
RNAcentral lists this ribosomal RNA (337 nucleotides) under uncultured cyanobacterium. RNAcentral describes it as "bacterial SSU rRNA". It matches the Rfam family "Bacterial small subunit ribosomal RNA", at positions 356 to 707 of the family's 1533-position model. The record is from RNAcentral. Lineage: Bacteria; Bacillati; Cyanobacteriota.